RNAcentral lists this ribosomal RNA (497 nucleotides) under uncultured bacterium. Its description in RNAcentral is "partial 16S ribosomal RNA". It matches the Rfam family "Bacterial small subunit ribosomal RNA", at positions 28 to 507 of the family's 1533-position model. The record is from RNAcentral.
GACGAACGCUGGCGGCGUGCCUAAUACAUGCAAGUUGAGCGCUGAAGGUUGGUACUUGUACCAACUGGAUGAGCAGCGAACGGGUGAGUAACGCGUGGGGAAUCUGCCUUUGAGCGGGGGACAACAUUUGGGAACGAAUGCUAAUACCGCAUAAAAACUUUAAACACAAGUUUUAAGUUUGAAAGAUGCAAUUGCAUCACUCAAAGAUGAUCCCGCGUUGUAUUAGCUAGUUGGUGAGGUAAAGGCUCACCAAGGCGAUGAUACAUAGCCGACCUGAGAGGGUGAUCGGCCACAUUGGGACUGAGACACGGCCCAAACUCCUACGGGAGGCAGCAGUAGGGAAUCUUCGGCAAUGGACGAAAGCCUGACCGAGCAACGCCGCGUGAGUGAAGAAGGUUUUCGGAUCGUAAAACUCUGUUGGUAGAGAAGAACGUUGGUGAGAGUGGAAAGCUCAUCAAGUGACGGUAACUACCCAGAAAGGGACGGCUAACUACGUG